Long non-coding RNA from Tribolium castaneum (red flour beetle), 469 nucleotides. RefSeq lists it as uncharacterized. The transcript is spliced from 2 exons. The record is from RefSeq and is a predicted model, not a curated record. NCBI's taxonomy places the organism in Eukaryota, Metazoa, Arthropoda, Insecta, Coleoptera, Tenebrionidae.
GUUUUCCUGCCCCUCCGUGCAUGAUCCUGGUCGUCUACCAUUUUUCGUUUGAGCUAGACCGAAAAUUUUUGCAUCAGACACUCCAUACUCUUGUGGAUGAAUUUUUGCAACAUUAAAAAAUUAAAAACUAAAAAUUAAAACUAAAUCUAAAAAAAAUACUAUUAAUUUCGGUGCAUAUGACAAAUGCCUAUUUGGCGAAAGAAAUGGGCAAGUCAAAAAGGAAGAAUUAAAAGUGAAAGUAUACAACCCUUAUUUAUUUUUUGCUAUCUUUUUGUCUGAGUAUUGAGGAUAACAUCCGCAUUUCUGAUAAUCAUUUGUCCAUGCCUACAUGAAUCUACAAGUUCCGGAAGUAAUCAGGAUCAUCAAUUGUUCACAAAAAUAUUCUAAUCAUAAAAAUAAUAUUGAUUUUUACUAGCCCUAACCAUUAAAUAUGUUCGGACAAAUUAUGCUAAUAAACAUAUAAAAACCA